GACGAACGCUGGCGGCAUGCCUAACACAUGCGAGUCGAGCGAGUUGAUCCCUUCGGGGUGAAGCUAGCGGCGGACGGGUGAGUAACACGUGGGCAACCUGCCUCAUAGAGGGGAAUAGCCUUCCGAAAGGAAGAUUAAUACCGCAUAAGAUUGUAGCUUCGCAUGAAGCAGCAAUUAAAGGAGCAAUCCGCUAUGAGAUGGGCCCGCGGCGCAUUAGCUAGUUGGUGAGGUAACGGCUCACCAAGGCGACGAUGCGUAGCCCACCUGAGAGGGUGAUCGGCCACAUUGGGACUGAGACACGGCCCAGACUCCUACGGGAGGCAGCAGUGGGGAAUAUUGCACAAUGGGGGAAACCCUGAUGCAGCAAUGCCGCGUGAGUGAUGACGGCCUUCGGGUUGUAAAGCUCUGUCUUCGGGGACGAUAAUGACGGUACCCGAGGAGGAAGCCACGGCUAACUACGUGCCAGCCGCCGCCGUAA
RNAcentral lists this ribosomal RNA (478 nucleotides) under uncultured bacterium. RNAcentral's name for it is "partial 16S ribosomal RNA". It matches the Rfam family "Bacterial small subunit ribosomal RNA", at positions 28 to 523 of the family's 1533-position model. The record is from RNAcentral.